GGAGGUGAGGGGAAAGGGGCAGCCUGCGAGGGGGCUUCAGGAGCCUGGGCAGUUACAGCAGGCUUUAGCCUGAGGGCUCAGGAAGCCACUGAAAGGUUUUAAGUAGGGAGUGACAUACCAGAUUUGCAUUUUAAAAAGAUGGCUCCCGCUCAGGACUGGAGGGGGUGUGACCAGUUGGACCAGAGCUAGGUGAGAGAUGACAGGCCAAAGGCUUAGGAGAAAGGGGGCAGGAACUUGGUGACCUCUGGAGCUGGGGACCAAAGAGGCCAGUGAAGUUGAGGAUUUGGGGGAGACUUCGUGGGCUCCUGACCCUCCCCCUCCCAGUCUGGCUCCCGCUGCAUUCUGGGUUCUUCUCUGACUGUCCUAGAUGAGUGCUGUCUGUGACUAGUCCAGCCCUCAGGGUUGCUUUCUACCUAACUCCAGAAAAGCAUCUCCUGUCUGGGAUGGGCUCACCAGAUGUUCCCCAGAUGUUGCUGGUGAUGAGAAACAUCUUCCUCUGGGAUCCCAAGCCUUUGAGGAUGAAGGAGAUGAGCCUUUUUGGCAGUCACACAUGUGGAACUUAAUCCUGGUUUGCUUUGUAACUUGAUUGAUAGUAUGUUUUAUCAUGCGAAAGUUUAACAGUUUUAUGUAGCCAAAGUUCUUAGAUAUUUACCUUAGGGAUCCUGGUUUUUGUGUGCUGCAUUCCCUAUCAUAAUAUUACAAUAAAUUCACCUAUUCUUUUCUCAAGAGUUUUAUGGUCUUAUUUUUAACAUAUAAAAUCCUUUGUCCAUUUGGGAUUUAUUUUGACUUAAGGAAUGAUAUAGGUUUUACACUUUACUUUUCCC
Non-coding RNA from Sus scrofa (pig), 824 nucleotides. The record is from RefSeq and is a predicted model, not a curated record. NCBI's taxonomy places the organism in Eukaryota, Metazoa, Chordata, Mammalia, Artiodactyla, Suidae.